RNAcentral lists this ribosomal RNA (2931 nucleotides) under Escherichia coli. RNAcentral describes it as "23S ribosomal RNA". It matches the Rfam family "Bacterial large subunit ribosomal RNA". Lineage: Bacteria; Pseudomonadati; Pseudomonadota; Gammaproteobacteria; Enterobacterales; Enterobacteriaceae. The record is from RNAcentral.
GGGUUGUGAGGUUAAGCGACUAAGCGUACACGGUGGGAUGCCCGCAGUCAGAGGCGAUGAAGGACGUGCUAAUCUGCGAUAAGCGUCGGUGAGGUGAUAUGAACCGUUAUAACCGGCGAUUUCCGAAUGGGGAAACCCAGUGUGAUUCGUCACACUAUCAUUAACUGAAUCCAUAGGUUAAUGAGGCGAACCGGGGGAACUGAAACAUCUAAGUACCCCGAGGAAAAGAAAUCAACCGAGAUUCCCCCAGUAGCGGCGAGCGAACGGGGAGGAGCCCAGAGCCUGAAUCAGUGUGUGUGUUAGUGGAAGCGUCUGGAAAGGCGUGCGAUACAGGGUGACAGCCCCGUACACAAAAAUGCACAUAUUGUGAGCCUCAUGAGUAGGGCGGGACACGUGGUAUCCUGUCUGAAUAUGGGGACCAUCCUCCAAGGCUAAAUACUCCUGACUGACCGAUAGUGAACCAGUACCGUGAGGGAAAGGCGAAAAGAACCCCGGCGAGGGGAGUGAAAAAGAACCUGAAACCGUGUACGUACAAGCAGUGGGAGCCUCUUAAUGGGGUGACUGCGUACCUUUUGUAUAAUGGGUCAGCGACUUAUAUUCUGUAGCAAGGUUAACCGAAUAGGGGAGCCGAAGGGAAACCGAGUCUUAACUGGGCGUUAAGUUGCAGGGUAUAGACCCGAAACCCGGUGAUUCAGCCAUGGGCAGGUUGAAGGUUGGGUAACACUAACUGGAGGACCGAACCGACUAAUGUUGAAAAAUUAGCGGAUGACUUGUGGCUGGGGGUGAAAGGCCAAUCAAACCGGGAGAUAGCUGGUUCUCCCCGAAAGCUAUUUAGGUAGCGCCUCGUGAAUUCAUCUCCGGGGGUAGAGCACUGUUUCGGCAAGGGGGUCAUCCCGACUUACCAACCCGAUGCAAACUGCGAAUACCGGAGAAUGUUAUCACGGGAGACACACGGCGGGUGCUAACGUCCGUCGUGAAGAGGGAAACAACCCAGACCGCCAGCUAAGGUCCCAAAGUCAUGGUUAAGUGGGAAACGAUGUGGGAAGGCCCAGACAGCCAGGAUGUUGGCUUAGAAGCAGCCAUCAUUUAAAGAAAGCGUAAUAGCUCACUGGUCGAGUCGGCCUGCGCGGAAGAUGUAACGGGGCUAAACCAUGCACCGAAGCUGCGGCAGCGACACUAUGUGUUGUUGGGUAGGGGAGCGUUCUGUAAGCCCGUGAAGGUGGCCUGUGAGGGUUGCUGGAGGUAUCAGAAGUGCGAAUGCUGACAUAAGUAACGAUAAAGCGGGUGAAAAGCCCGCUCGCCGGAAGACCAAGGGUUCCUGUCCAACGUUAAUCGGGGCAGGGUGAGUCGACCCCUAAGGCGAGGCCGAAAGGCGUAGUCGAUGGGAAACAGGUUAAUAUUCCUGUACUUGGUGUUACUGCGAAGGGGGGACGGAGAAGGCUAUGUUGGCCGGGCGACGGUUGUCCCGGUUUAAGCGUGUAGGCUGGUUUUCCAGGCAAAUCCGGAAAAUCAAGGCUGAGGCGUGAUGACGAGGCACUACGGUGCUGAAGCGACAAAUGCCCUGCUUCCGGAAAAAAGCCUCUAAGCAUCAGGUAACAUCAAAUCGUACCCCCCAAACCGACACAGGUGGUCAGGUAGAGAAUACCAAGGCGCUUGAGAGAACUCGGGUGAAGGAACUAGGCAAAAUGGUGCCGUAACUUCGGGAGAGAAGGCACGCUGAUAUGUAGGUGAAGCGACUUGCUCGUGGAGCUGAAAUCAGUCGAAGAUACCAGCUGGCUGCAACUGUUUAUUAAAAACACAGCACUGUGCAAACACGAAAGUGGACGUAUACGGUGUGACGCCUGCCCGGUGCCGGAAGGUUAAUUGAUGGGGUUAGCGGUAACGCGAAGCUCUUGAUCGAAGCCCUGGUAAACGGCGGCCGUAACUAUAACGGUCCUAAGGUAGCGAAAUUCCUUGUCGGGUAAGUUCCGACCUGCACGAAUGGCGUAAUGAUGGCGUGCUGUCUCCCACCCGAGACUCAGUGAAAUUGAACUCGCUGUGAAGAUGCAGUGUACCCGCGGCAAGACGGAAAGACCCCGUGAACCUUUACUAUAGCUUGACACUGAACAUUGAGCCUUGAUGUGUAGGAUAGGUGGGAGGCUUUGAAGUGUGGACGCCAGUCUGCAUGGAGCCGACCUUGAAAUACCACCCUUUAAUGUUUGAUGUUCUAACGUGGGCCCCUUUACCGGGUUGCGGACAGUGUCUGGUGGUAGUUUGAUCUGGGGCGGUCUCCUCCUAAAGAGUAACGGAGGAGCACGAAGGUUGGCUAAUCUCGGUCGGACAUCAGGAGGUUAGUGCAAUGGCAUAAGCCAGCUUGACUGCGAGCGUGACGGCGCGAGCAGGUGCGAAAAGCAGGUCAUAGUGAUCCGGUGGUUCUGAAUGGAAGGGCCAUCGCUCAACGGAUAAAAGGUACCCGGGGAUAACAGGCUGAUACCGCCCAAGAGUUCAUAUCGACGGCGGUGUUUGGCACCCUCGAUGUCGGCUCAUCACAUCCCGGGGCUGAAGUAGGUCCCAAGGGUAUGGCUGUUCGCCAUUUAAAGUGGUACGCGAGCUGGGUUUUAGAACGUCGUGAGACAGUUCGGUCCCCAUUCUGCCGUGGGCGCUGGAGAACUGAGGGGGGGCUGCUCCUAGUACGAGAGGACCGGAGUGGACGCAUCACUGGUGUUCGGGUUGUCAUGCCAAUGGCACUGCCCGGUAGCUAAAUGCGGAAGAGAUAAGUGCUGAAAGCAUCUAAGCACGAAACUUGCCCCGAGAUGAGUUCUCCCUGACUCCUUGAGAGUCCUGAAGGAACGUUGAAGACGACGACGUUGAUAGGCCGGGUGUGUAAGCGCAGCGAUGCGUUGAGCUAACCGGUACUAAUGAACCGUGAGGCUUAACCUUACAACGCCGAAG